Molecule: ribosomal RNA, 497 nt
Filed under: uncultured bacterium
Lineage: Bacteria
Description: partial 16S ribosomal RNA
Rfam family: Bacterial small subunit ribosomal RNA
Source: RNAcentral
GAUGAACGCUGGCGGCGUGCCUAAUACAUGCAAGUCGAGCGAACAGACGAGGAGCUUGCUCCUCUGACGUUAGCGGCGGACGGGUGAGUAACACGUGGAUAACCUACCUAUAAGACUGGGAUAACUUCGGGAAACCGGAGCUAAUACCGGAUAAUAUAUUGAACCGCAUGGUUCAAUAGUGAAAGACGGUUUUGCUGUCACUUAUAGAUGGAUCCGCGCCGCAUUAGCUAGUUGGUAAGGUAACGGCUUACCAAGGCAACGAUGCGUAGCCGACCUGAGAGGGUGAUCGGCCACACUGGAACUGAGACACGGUCCAGACUCCUACGGGAGGCAGCAGUGGGGAAUCUUCCGCAAUGGGCGAAAGCCUGACGGAGCAACGCCGCGUGAGUGAUGAAGGUCUUCGGAUCGUAAAACUCUGUUAUUAGGGAAGAACAAAUGUGUAAGUAACUGUGCACGUCUUGACGGUACCUAAUCAGAAAGCCACGGCUAACUACGUG